CCCUAUUAUUGACGGUAGAAAAAUAAUUGGAGAGUAGGGUUUAAAAGCUGAAAACUAUUCAGAAUGGCGGUUUUUUUUAUUUUCAGAUAGAUGUGUUUUGAAAACGAAAAUGCACGAAUAUCUUUCUUAUCCUAGAAGAACUCAUCCUGUACACCGCCGUCUGAAGAAUCAAUUUAAUCGAUUAAUUCUAUUUCUCUUUUUGCGGAAAUAAGUCAGGUUAGGUGCAGACUAUGGUUAAGAAAAAAUGCAUUUCACUAUGUUCCCAAGGAGAAUUUGAAAGUAUGUUCCCAAGGAGAAUUUGAAAGUAUGUUUUUUUAAUGAAAAAAGAACGAAUUAAUACCAAAAAAAUGUACACAUCGCCCG
This 363-nucleotide ribosomal RNA is filed under the name Columbicola claytoni. RNAcentral describes it as "partial 12S ribosomal RNA". The record is from RNAcentral. Lineage: Eukaryota; Metazoa; Arthropoda; Insecta; Psocodea; Philopteridae.